AAGUUACUAGCCCUGAAAAUGGAUGGCGCUGAAGCGUCGUGCUUAUACUCUGCCGUCAGCGGCAUGUGCGACGUGGCGUUCGCGCGUCACGUCAUCAAGCCCUGAUGAGUAGGAGGGUCGCGGCGGUGUGCGCAGAAGGACCGGGCGUGGGCCCGUCUGGAGCCGCCGUCGGUGCAGAUCUUGGUGGUAGUAGCAAAUACUCCAGCGAGGACCUGGAGGACCGACGUGGAGAAGGGUUUCGUGUGAACAGCCGUUGCACACGAGUCAGUCGAUCCUAAGCCCCAGGCGAAAGCCGAUGUCGAUGUUGGUGUGUCGUAUGUGUGUCUGUGCGUUUUGCGUUUUUGCGUUAUUUUGCGAUAAAGUGCGAUUACGACAAACACCCGACUGGGCGAAAGGGAAUCCGGUUCCUAUUCCGGAACCCGGCAGCGGAACCGUUAAUAAGUCGUGCCCUCGUAAGAGAGUUCGUCGGGGUAACCCAACAGGACCCGGAGACGCCGUCGGGAGAUCCGGGAAGAGUUUUCUUUUCUGCAUGAGCGUUCGAGUUCCAUGGAAUCCUCUAGCAGGGAGAUAUGGUUUGGAACGCGAAGAGCACCGCAGUUGSGGCGGUGUCCGGAUCUUCCCCUCGGACCUUGAAAAUCCGGGUGAGGGCCACGUCGAGUUUCCUGCCGGUUCGUACCCAUAUCCGCAGCAGGUCUCCAAGGUGAAGAGCCUCUGGUCGAUAGAAUA
RNAcentral lists this ribosomal RNA (726 nucleotides) under Geomitopsis sp. RNAcentral's name for it is "partial large subunit ribosomal RNA". Lineage: Eukaryota; Metazoa; Arthropoda; Insecta; Coleoptera; Staphylinidae. The record is from RNAcentral.